Small nuclear RNA from Lupinus angustifolius (narrow-leaved blue lupine), 194 nucleotides. It matches the Rfam family "U2 spliceosomal RNA". Rfam says of the family: U2 is a small nuclear RNA (snRNA) component of the spliceosome (involved in pre-mRNA splicing). The record is from Rfam. NCBI's taxonomy places the organism in Eukaryota, Viridiplantae, Streptophyta, Magnoliopsida, Fabales, Fabaceae.
AUACCUUUCUCGGCCUUUUGGCUAAGAUCAAGUGUAGUAUCUGUUCUUAUCAGUUUAAUAUCUGAUAUGUGGGCCAUUGGCCCACACGAUAUUAAAUUUAUUUUUUGAGGGGGAGAGCCAUAUCAAUAGCUUGCUGUUGGGCUCCUCAAGCGUCGCCUAUGCCUUGCACUAUAGCAUGGGCUGGCACACCCCAC